CCUACGGGUGGCAGCAGUGGGGAAUAUUGGGCAAUGGACGCAAGUCUGACCCAGCAACGCCGCGUGAAGGAAGAAGGCUUUCGGGGUGUAAACUUCCUUUUAGGGGGAAGAGCAGAAGACGGUAUCCCUUGAAUAAGCUACGGCUAACUACGUGCCAGCAGCCGCGGUAAUACGGAGGUGGCAGGCGUUGUCCGGAUUUACUGGGUGUAAAGGGCGUGCAGCCGGAGAGACAAGUCAGAUGUGAAAUCCACGGGCUCAACCAUUGAACUGCAGUUGAAACUGUUUGCCUUGAGUGUCGGAGAGGUAAUCGGAAUUCGUUGUGUAGCGGUGAAAUGCGUAGAUAUAAGGAAGAACACCGGUGGCGAAGGCAGAUUACUGGACGAUAACUGACGGUGAGGCGCGAAAGCGUGGGGAGCAAACAGGAUUAGAUACCCUUGUAGUC
Molecule: ribosomal RNA, 442 nt
Filed under: uncultured bacterium
Lineage: Bacteria
Description: partial 16S ribosomal RNA
Rfam family: Bacterial small subunit ribosomal RNA
Source: RNAcentral